GAGGAGAUGGCGGUGUUCCUGGUGGUAACCUGCCCUUCCAGAUCCAAAACAGAUUCCGUUUGACUGUUCUGUUUGUGGCAUUCUUUGGUUCUGGUCUGGCACUACCCUUCGUACUUGUUCGUCAUCAGCUGCUCAAGAAAUAAUGGCAGAAUCAGAAACUAGGUUUGUACAUCCAAAAAAUGCAGGCUAUGUAAUGUGAUGUAAAUUUUUAUUUAAUAUGCUUCAAAUAAAAGAAUAAAAAUUCUCUUUAUA
Homarus americanus (American lobster) is the source of this 252-nucleotide long non-coding RNA. RefSeq lists it as uncharacterized. The transcript has 3 exons. The record is from RefSeq and is a predicted model, not a curated record. NCBI's taxonomy places the organism in Eukaryota, Metazoa, Arthropoda, Malacostraca, Decapoda, Nephropidae.